UACGGGGGGGCAAGCGUUGUUCGGAAUUACUGGGCGUAAAGGGCUCGUAGGUGGCCAACUAAGUCACACGUGAAAUCCCUCGGCUUAACCGGGGAACUGCGUGUGAUACUGGAUGGCUUGAGUUUGGGAGAGGGAUGCGGAAUUCCAGGUGUAGCGGUGAAAUGCGUAGAUAUCUGGAGGAACACCGGUGGCGAAGGCGGCAUCCUGGACCAACACUGACGCUGAGGAGCGAAAGCCAGGGGAGCAAACGGG
This 252-nucleotide ribosomal RNA is filed under the name uncultured bacterium. RNAcentral's name for it is "partial 16S ribosomal RNA". It matches the Rfam family "Bacterial small subunit ribosomal RNA", at positions 524 to 776 of the family's 1533-position model. The record is from RNAcentral.